CUUGAUUCUUUUUUUUCAUCUUAAAUACCUCAUAACAAGCUACACAUAACAUCUUACAAACACCAAAAACAGUAAAUAACCACAGAGAUAUAAGGCUUGACAUUUGCCCAAAAAUAACAGAAUUCGGUUUUACAAAAGUUGGAAAAACUUUGAUUUUGAGCACUUUGAUGUUAUUGGUCCUGAAUUUAACAACCCAGAACAUUAAUAUACUCCCUAUUACACAACUUUAAACAAUCAAUUGCACCAAUUAACAUCGAAUCGAAGGAUUUCUAGAAUUUAGGGUUUUUACCUUUUCUAGCUUUGAUUUCUUGAUUUUGAUCCUUUGAUGCUUCUGAUUUGUUGUUGGUGUGAAUGGGGCUUGAUUAUAGACUGAUAUGGUAAGGAAAU
RNAcentral lists this long non-coding RNA (387 nucleotides) under Panax ginseng (ginseng). RNAcentral's name for it is "long non-coding RNA (PGIN_LNC014081)". Lineage: Eukaryota; Viridiplantae; Streptophyta; Magnoliopsida; Apiales; Araliaceae. The record is from RNAcentral.